Molecule: long non-coding RNA, 367 nt
Filed under: Nicotiana benthamiana
Lineage: Eukaryota; Viridiplantae; Streptophyta; Magnoliopsida; Solanales; Solanaceae
Description: long non-coding RNA (NBEN_LNC022342)
Source: RNAcentral
AAGAAAAUCCAUAGACGAGACCAACUGGGACCGAACCUUUCUAUCUUCUUCUUUCUCUUUUUGUUCCCGCCUGCCGAGGACCUAUGUUUCAAUAACGAUGAAGGGCUACUAGAAGGGAAAGGGCUUCAGGAGAGAUGGUUAGAUUGGAUGGGCGUAGUUGAUCGAUCGAACUACGAUGAUUGGAAUGAAGACAGACAGACUUCCGUGCGAAAGACAGAACGGCAAAACUUUAUUAUUAUAUUAUUGCAUUUUUCCUAAACUUCGUCAAGCCUAUCCGCUCAUUUGUUCCAAACCAGAGUUUCUAGUUUCAAGAUCGCGCUUUUAGUACGCGUGUGGUGAGAUGUUCCAAGCCCGGUAUCUACUGAUU